CGAAAGCCUGACGGAGCAAUACCGCGUGAGGGAAAAAGGCCUUCGGGUUGUAAACCUCUUUUAUCAAGGAGGAAAUUUUGACGUGUACUUGAUGAAUAAGCAUCGGCUAACUCCGUGCCAGCAGCCGCGGUAAUACGGAGGAGGCAAGCGUUAUCCGGAAUGAUUGGGCGUAAAGCGUUCGUAGGUGGCAAUUCAAGUCUGCUGUCAAAGACAGUAGCUCAACUACUGCAAGGCAGUGGAAACUGAAUAGCUAGAGUGCGGUAGGGGCAGAGGGAAUUCCCGGUGUAGCGGUGAAAUGCGUAGAGAUCGGGAAGAACACCGGUGGCGAAAGCGCUCUGCUGGGCCGCAACUGACACUGAGGGACGAAAGCUAGGGGAGCG
RNAcentral lists this ribosomal RNA (380 nucleotides) under uncultured cyanobacterium. RNAcentral's name for it is "bacterial SSU rRNA". It matches the Rfam family "Bacterial small subunit ribosomal RNA", at positions 376 to 770 of the family's 1533-position model. Lineage: Bacteria; Bacillati; Cyanobacteriota. The record is from RNAcentral.